RNAcentral lists this transfer RNA (77 nucleotides) under Colwellia sp. BRX10-1. Its description in RNAcentral is "tRNA-Asp". It matches the Rfam family "tRNA". Rfam says of the family: Transfer RNA (tRNA) molecules are approximately 80 nucleotides in length. The record is from RNAcentral. Lineage: Bacteria; Pseudomonadati; Pseudomonadota; Gammaproteobacteria; Alteromonadales; Colwelliaceae.
GGAGUGGUAGUUCAGUUGGUUCGAACACCCCCCUGUCAAGGCUGGGGUCGCGGGUUCGAGUCCCGUCCACUCCGCCA